CAAGUCGAACGCUGAAGCCUAGCUUGCUGGGUGGAUGAGUGGCGAACGGGUGAGUAACACGUGAGUAACCUGCCCUCUUCUUUGGGAUAACGCCCGGAAACGGGUGCUAAUACUGGAUAUUCACUGAUCUUCGCAUGGGGGUUGGUGGAAAGGUUUUUCUGGUGGGGGAUGGGCUCGCGGCCUAUCAGCUUGUUGGUGGGGUGAUGGCCUACCAAGGCUUUGACGGGUAGCCGGCCUGAGAGGGUGACCGGUCACAUUGGGACUGAGAUACGGCCCAGACUCC
RNAcentral lists this ribosomal RNA (283 nucleotides) under uncultured Actinomyces sp. RNAcentral describes it as "partial 16S ribosomal RNA". It matches the Rfam family "Bacterial small subunit ribosomal RNA", at positions 58 to 339 of the family's 1533-position model. The record is from RNAcentral. Lineage: Bacteria; Bacillati; Actinomycetota; Actinomycetes; Actinomycetales; Actinomycetaceae.